This 492-nucleotide ribosomal RNA is filed under the name uncultured bacterium. RNAcentral describes it as "partial 16S ribosomal RNA". It matches the Rfam family "Bacterial small subunit ribosomal RNA", at positions 29 to 507 of the family's 1533-position model. The record is from RNAcentral.
AGUGAACGCUGGCGGUAGGCCUAGCACAUGCAAGUCGAACGGCAGCACAGUAAGAGCUUGCUCUUACGGGUGGCGAGUGGCGGACGGGUGAGGAAUACAUCGGAAUCUACUUUUUCGUGGGGGAUAACGUAGGGAAACUUACGCUAAUACCGCAAACGACCUACGGGUGAAAGCAGGGGAUCUUCGGACCUUGCGCGAUUGAAUGAGCCGAUGUCGGAUUAGCUAGUUGGCGGGGUAAAGGCCCACCAAGGCGACGAUCCGUAGCUGGUCUGAGAGGAUGAUCAGCCACACUGGAACUGAGACACGGUCCAGACUCCUACGGGAGGCAGCAGUGGGGAAUAUUGGACAAUGGGCGCAAGCCUGAUCCAGCCAUACCGCGUGGGUGAAGAAGGCCUUCGGGUUGUAAAGCCCUUUUGUUGGGAAAGAAAAGCAGCAGGUUAAUACCCCGCUGUUCUGACGGUACCCAAAGAAUAAGCACCGGCUAACUUCGUG